Long non-coding RNA from Manis pentadactyla (Chinese pangolin), 2149 nucleotides. RefSeq lists it as uncharacterized. Lineage: Eukaryota; Metazoa; Chordata; Mammalia; Pholidota; Manidae. The transcript has 3 exons. The record is from RefSeq and is a predicted model, not a curated record.
GCUGAAGAAACUGAGGCUCUGAAAGUUGAACUGAGGCCUAAUGGUGGGCCUCAGACCGUGCUUCUACUGGUCAAAUGGGUUAAUAAUCCAGCCCAGCCUGUCCAAUUUUAAAACCUCUGUUCUCCUCCCUAGCCUAAAGAUGGCACUUCUGAGGUGUAACCUCAGCCAUGAUAUCAAGAAAUGAUGAAAUAAAGAUCUCAGUCUAGAGGAAUACUCAGAAGACUUUCCCACAGUGUUACCCUCUCCCCAAAAGCCCCCACAAAAGCAAAAUCACACACUUCAACACCCCAAGUAAAAAAAAUUCUGAGAUUAAGGAAAGUGACCACAUGUAGGCUGCCAGUGAUGUUAUAACUUUGCCUCCUAUAGAAUUUUCUCCACUUUCUCCCACCCAUGUCUCCCCUCUUCCCCCUCCUCCUCACCACUCCUUCCCCAACAAUACAGUUUCCUGUCAAAACAAACUUGGUUACACGCAGUGCAACCAAAAUUGCUGCUAUUAGCUUAAUUGAGACAGGGUGAUUAUAAAUAAAUUACAUGCAGUGCUACUGAAAUUGCUGCUAUUAGUCUAAAUUGAGACAGGGUGAUUAGUCAUCAACUGUAGCUCAAUUCAGAGUGUAUUCCACAUGGCUGCAGAGGCCCUGUGGUCACCGGGCAGCCCACAGGGUACAAGGCCAAAUCCCCAAGCGAUGGACUUCAGGGCUGCAGUAACUCUGUUUCGCUGGUAACAGAGAGCACAAAAGUCCAUACAGCCUGGUCGGUGGUGGCUCCUUGUAAGUGGAUAAUGAACUUCUUAGGAACUUUAAGCUGGUAAGGACUUAAAAUGAUUAGAAACCUUCCCAUCUGGAAAAUCUGUGUGGCAUAUAUGUGUAUUGAUAUAUCUCAAUGUGUAAAUAAAUCUUCUGUCACUUAUCCAUAAUGAUUUGAGAUGGACUUUUAAUAUUAUUUUACCUUGUUUGUAAUUAUAAAAGAAAUCCAGAGUCGCUAGAGAACUUCAGGAGCAUAAAUAGUAUAGAAGAAUAAAACAGUUCCCUUUCUCAUUUUCAUUGCAUUUGUUAGACCCUGGUGUCCCUCCAUCAUUUCAUUUAUACAUUCCCUCUGACAUAAUUGAAACCUAUAUACAAUUUUGUAUUAAGCUUUUUUCACUGAUGGAAACAUCUUUAAUGAUUAAUUAGCACCUUGGUUUGGAAAAAUGGGUGAGGCAGAGAAAUUGCAAACUGACAUAGUAGAUGUCACUGCUUAUUGGGAAAUGCUUGGAAGGAACACAAUUCUACAGUGAUGGCAUGAUCUCUUGUCUUUCGAAAAUUCAGAUUAUAAUAAAUUUUUUGUAAAGUGCCUUUUUUCCAGCUUUAUUGAGAUAUAUUGGCAUAUAGCAUUGUGUAGGUUUAAGGCAUACAGCAUGAUCAUUUGAUGCACAUUUUAUUAAAGAAUAAUUCUACAAUAAGGUUGACACAUCCAUCAUCUCACAUCAAAAUCCUGUGUGUGUGUGUGUGUGUGUAACAUUUAAGACCUACUCUCGUAGCAACUUUCAAGUAUAUAAUACACUACUGUUAACUAUGGUCACUGUGCUGUACAUUACAUUCCCAGAACUUACUCAUCUUAUAACUAGAAGUCUGUAUCUUUUGGCCAAUACCUCCCCAUUUCUCCCCCUGACCCCAGUCGCUGGUAACCACCACACCAUUCUACUUUGUUUCUAUGAGUCUGGCUUUUUUAGAUCCCACAUGUAAGUGAGAUCAUACAGUGUUUGCCUUUCUCUACCUGAUUUAUUUUACUUAGCCUGAUGCCCUCACAGUUAAUCCAUGUUAUUAGAAAUAGGUUUUCCUUCUUUUUAUGGCUGAAUAAUAUUUACUUUAUUCACUUAUCCAUUGAUGGACACUUGAAUUUUUUCCAUAUCUUGGCUAUUGUGCAUAAUUCUGCAGUGAACAUGGUAGUACAAAAUAUCUCUUUGAGAUCUUGUUUUCAUUUCCUGUGAAGAUAGAUCCAGAAGUGGGAUUGCUGGGUCAUAUGGUAAUUCUAUUUUAUUUUUUUGAGGAAACUCCAUGCUGUUUUCCAUAGUGGCUGUACCAAUUUACAUUCCUACCAUCACUGCAUAACACUUGUUCUCUAUUGUUUUUUGAUGAUGGCCAUUCUAGUAGAUGUGAAGUGAUACCUCAUU